CGGCACGGGUGAGUAACACGUAUGCAACCUGCCUGCCACAGCCGGAUAAUCGGGAGAAAUUCCGUCUAAUACGGCAUAAUGCAUCGACGGGACAUCCUGUUGGUGCCAAAGGUUAAUUCCGGUGGCGGAUGGGCAUGCGUCGCAUUAGUUAGUUGGCGGUGUAACGGACCACCAAGACGACGAUGCGUAGGGGUUCUGAGAGGAGGGUCCCCCACACUGGUACUGAGACACGGACCAGACUCCUACGGAAGGCAGCAG
This 258-nucleotide ribosomal RNA is filed under the name uncultured bacterium. Its description in RNAcentral is "partial 16S ribosomal RNA". It matches the Rfam family "Bacterial small subunit ribosomal RNA", at positions 98 to 354 of the family's 1533-position model. The record is from RNAcentral.